GUUUUAAAAAAAAUAAUAUAAAUUUUCUUUAUAUAAUUAAUUUAAAUAUAUUUCAAGUAUAGAAGAUAUUUUUUAUUUUUAUUUUAAAAAUAAAAAGAAAUUUAUGUAAAAGUUUGGUAAAAUUUGUGCCAGCAGCCGCGGUUAUACAAAUAAAUUUAUUUUUUAUUAUUUAUUUAAAUAGAUAAAUUAAAGUAAGUUAAUGUAAUUUUAUUUUUAGGUGAAAUUUAUUAAUAAUUUAAUUUAAAUUAUUAUUGAUUUUUUAAAAAUUUUUAAAAUAAACUAGGAUUAGAUACCCUAUUAUUAAAAGCUAAAAUGUUGAGAGUAUAUAAAUAUUAUGAAAUCAAAAAAUUUUGGCGGUAUUUUAAGCUUUUUAGAGGAAUUUGCUCUGUAAUGGAUAAAACACCUAAAUCUUACUUAAUUUUGUUAAAUCAGUUUGUAUACCACUAUAUUUAAUUAUAUUGAAUAAUUAUAUUUAUAAUUUUAUAUUAUAAAAAUAUAUUAAGUCAAGGUGCAACAAAAAAAUUAUGAAUGAAGUGAAUUACAUUAAUUAUUAUAGAAAUACAGAUGAAAUUAAAAAAUUUAGGAUUUAAUAGUAAAAUAUUAAUAUAAUGAAUAUUUGAAAUAAGCUCUAAAAUAUGCACAUAUCGCCCGUCGCUCUCAUUUAUGAGAUAAGUCGUAACAAAGUAAAAAUACUGGAAAGUGUUUUU
RNAcentral lists this ribosomal RNA (707 nucleotides) under Ixodes rubicundus. RNAcentral's name for it is "12S ribosomal RNA". The record is from RNAcentral. Lineage: Eukaryota; Metazoa; Arthropoda; Arachnida; Ixodida; Ixodidae.